RNAcentral lists this ribosomal RNA (554 nucleotides) under uncultured bacterium. Its description in RNAcentral is "partial 16S ribosomal RNA". It matches the Rfam family "Bacterial small subunit ribosomal RNA", at positions 355 to 899 of the family's 1533-position model. The record is from RNAcentral.
UGGGGAAUAUUGGACAAUGGGCGCAAGCCUGAUCCAGCCAUACCGCGUGGGUGAAGAAGGCCUUCGGGUUGUAAAGCCCUUUUGUUGGGAAAGAAAUCCAGCUGGUUAAUACCCGGUUGGGAUGACGGUACCCAAAGAAUAAGCACCGGCUAACUUCGUGCCAGCAGCCGCGGUAAUACGAAGGGUGCAAGCGUUACUCGGAAUUACUGGGCGUAAAGCGUGCGUAGGUGGUCGUUUAAGUCUGUUGUGAAAGCCCUGGGCUCAACCUGGGAACUGCAGUGGAAACUGGACGACUAGAGUGUGGUAGAGGGUAGCGGAAUUCCUGGUGUAGCAGUGAAAUGCGUAGAGAUCAGGAGGAACAUCCAUGGCGAAGGCAGCUACCUGGACCAACACUGACACUGAGGCACGAAAGCGUGGGGAGCAAACAGGAUUAGAUACCCUGGUAGUCCACGCCCUAAACGAUGCGAACUGGAUGUUGGGUGCAAUUUUGGCACGCAGUAUCGAAGCUAACGCGUUAAGUUCGCCGCCUGGGGAGUACGGUCGCAAGACUGAAA